ACACAGUCGCAAACUGACCCCACCCAGGAUCCAAAACAGGAUUCAAAAAAACGUCUUUGCGUUUUCUACCAGCUCCCUAUCCUCAAACAAGGGGAGGGGAAGAAGCCGGUGAGAAAAACCUCUCUUUCCGCCGCCCUGCGCGUUUCUGCAGCCUUGCUCCGAGGCCGAGGUGGGUUCACAUUCCGCUCCUCCUUGUCAGUAGUUUUACCAAGAGCGUUUUGGCCCGAGGAGCCCCUUCUUAGAAGAGUCAGUGUGGGGCUCUUCGGGGAGGCGUUUGCGGAAUCGGGUUGGAGCUGCUGAGGAAUGGGAAGGAAGGUAAAAGUCCUGUUCUCGUACGACUUAGCCAGUCUACAUUCCCGCCCUGAGGUUUACUUCCCGCAGCUGAGCAGAGAUGGCAGCAUGACAAUCUGUUGCCUAGAAUGUGGGCUCAGAGGGGGACCACAGAAUUGGCCGACAGAAUGGAGGCGGGGAGUGGGGGGCGGGUAGGGGGGAGCCUGCACUUGCUCAAACCUAAGGAUUCUUUACCUGGUACCCAGGUGGAUCGCCAGAUUGAUGAAGCAGGCCUUGUUCUUUUUUGCCGGCAUAACUGGCACUUGGGGCUGAUGUUUUCAUUUUCUGGUUACUCACAUCUGUCUCCUCACCCUUAACCCACCCUCAGCCAGGGCUGAACUUCUUGGAGACACUGCAAACAACCUCUAACCCAAGCUUUCUUACUAGAAUGUUGGGAUCCUUGGCCUUCUUACUCUGAGACAGCAUGUCAUAUGGUAACACAUGGUAACACAUGGUAACACAUGGGCGAAACAGAGCAUCUUUAUUUAGGAAGGACAGUAAAAACAGUUUUAGCAUCAUGCCAGGGACUAGGGAAAUCGCAAAUGAGGCAAGACCCUCCCUCUGUGUUGCUAAGAACCUUAUAAUCAAGUCAUAAAUGUAAUCACUAGAAACGCAAGUGACAUAAUUACCUGAAUAGCACUGGCCAACUAACCUCCCAGAAGCAGCCUCAGGUAUUCAAAGAACUCCUUAACUACAGUUACUAACUAGUUAGUGCCGAAGGACAAUUUUGAUACACUUUAUUUUAAGCAACUCUUUUACAGAUAAAGAGGGAGUAAAAUAUUUUUGAAAUUCAUGGAAAUAGUCAAUAGGUUUCCCUUAAACAACAACUUUCAGUGGCACCUUUAAAAUAAGCUUUAAUUUUCUAGAAAUUGCUAGUGUGGAAUACGAAAGCUGUGCGGUGUGUUGGAAAGCUUCUAGGUCCUGGAACACCAGAUGUUCCUUGGAGAAUGCAUGUUAUCUUUCUCUGUUCCUCAGUUUCCUUAUCUGUAAAAUGAGGGCUUGAUAGUCCUCCAGGUCUCCCUCUUUCUUAUUCUAGGACAUCUUGGGGUGGCAGUGUGUAAAUGACCCUUAUAUAAAAGAGGGUACUCUAGUAAUGUGGAGAAGAGCUGUAGUUUGGCAGAGAAGAUGGGGAAAAACCAUUCCAGGAAAAGAAGAAUGUUUCUGGCUAUUGUUGAAAGGGCAGAUGUCAGGUUAUAAGCAGGCAAAGGUAAGAGAUUUGUCAAGCUAUUGUUGGAAGCAUUUGCCCAUGCGAUUCAGAAAUUAAAGUAGAUGGCUAAGAAAGUGGACCAUAUCAGGCCAGUAAAACCCCUCAGUAGGAGUUUUCACUUAAUCCAUAUUUGAGCAAAGAGCAAUUUCUGUUAAUAGUAAUUCUUAGAAGAUCACCUUGAGAUACCUGGGAGAGAGAAUGGGCACAAAGCCCCACAUUUGUUGACAGUACAUGUGUAAUUUUUGUCUUUGUUUGAAAAUACACAGGCAUGUAAGCAAGAGUGUGGCUUAUUUUCCCCCAGUCAUACUGCCCCCCCUACCCACCCAUUCCUGGAGAUUUGAUCCUUCUUUUCAUUGGAGCUUCAUCCUCUUUUAACCAUUACUUCUGUUAGUCAAUAAGUUUCAUGCUUAUAAACCUAAAAAAAAGUUAGAGUUAAAACAAAUUUAGAGAUUAGUCAUUUCUCUCCAUCACCUAAUUUUAUAAUUAGUGUUAAGGACAGAAUUAAACAUAUGUACUCUGUCUAAAGGGUAAAGGACACCAGCACUUGAGUCCUUAGAAGGAGAACCCCAGGCUUCCUGUGUCUACAUGCAAGGAAACUAGUGGCAUGAAGAAGAGACACAAGAAAAAUUUCAGGAAAAGGGGAAUGACUUUCAAAUUCAAGCUGUCAGAACAUUUUUUAAAUAUAUGAGUGGGUUUUUCUCAAUUGACAAUUACUUCACACCUAUUAAAAUUACUGAAAAAAUAUAGAUAUAAUUCCUUGUUGUAGGUAUUUAGAAAUACAAAUGAGUAAGCACUUAAAUGCAUUAAAAAAAUUUUUUUUUAUUUAAAAAAAAUUUUUUUUCAACGUUUAUUUAUUUUUGGGACAGAGAGAGACAGAGCAUGAACGGGGGAGGGGCAGAGAGAGAGGGAGACACAGAAUCGGAAACAGGCUCCAGGCUCUGAGCCAUCAGCCCAGAGCCCGACGCGGGGCUCGAACUCACGGACCGCGAGAUCGUGACCUGGCUGAAGUCGGACGCUCAACCGACUGCGCCACCCAGGCGCCCCUAAAAAAAAUUUUUUUAACGUUUAUUUAUUUUUGAGAUAGAGACAGAGCAUCAAUGGGGGAGGGUCAGAGAGAGGGAGACACAGAAUCCAAAACAGGCUCCAGGUUCUGAGCUGUCAGCACAAAGCCCGACGCGGGGCUCAAACUCACAGACCUCGAGAUCAUGACCUGAGUGAAGUUGGCCGCCCAACCGACUGAGCCACCCAGGUGCCCCGCACUUAAAUGCAUUUUAAUGAAAUAGUCAAACUCCCCCCCCCAAACCUUUCUUUUAUGUUUUUCAUCAUAACCACAUUGUGCCAAGCUGAAAAGAAAGGAAAAAUCAUGGGACCAAAAACAAACCAUUCGCCAUUCACCUAACUGGCUUUUUGCAUUGUCACCUAUGUGGGGGAGGGUGUUAAUUCUCCCCAAGUUGUCAGGUGAAAUACCACAGGCAAAGAAGGGACCUGGCUGUGUGCAGAGGCCUGAGGUUGCUCCCAGCAAUACAGCAUAAAGCUAACAUCAGAGGCUGGUCUGUUUGUGUGAGUUGGUGUUUGGCCUGGUGCUUCAGGCCAUGGGACUCUGUGUGUGUGUGUGUGUGUGUGUGUGUGUGUGUGAGAGAGAGAGAGAGAGAGAGAGAGUGUGUGUGUGAGUGUGUGCGCGUGCGCGCUCGCGUUUUAGGUGAUUUAUCAGAGAAGGAUCCUGUUAAUCAAGUCCUCUUGAUCUCCACAGAGAUCUAAUUUUUUUUUAAUAUGUGUUUAUUUUGAGAGACAGAGAGAGAGCAGGCAGGGGAGGGGCAGAGAUGGAGAGAGAGUAUCCCAAGCAGGCUCCACACUGCCAGCACAGAGACCAACAACAUGGGCCUUGAUCCCAUGAACCGUGAGAUCCUGACCCUCAGCCGAGCCGAUAUCAAGAGUCAGACGCUUAACUGGCUGAACCACGCAGGCAACCCAUUAACAACUUUUUAGAACUCAGCUCUUCAGCGUCUCUUUAAAUAGUGAUAUGUGAUUAAUUUAAAAUAGGUACCACUCUCAAAUAUCAGGUUUGCCCACAAAAGGAAAGUGAGGACUAGGGCACCCUGAUAGGUGCAGGUAGAGUCCCCACUCUGUGGGCCCCUUGUCUUGUUGAUUCUCUUGGUACCUAACAGACUUUGAACUUUGGUAUUUGGCAGAACAAUCGUGUGGAUCAGGGACACGCCUGUCCCUUCCUUUCCAGAGACUUCAGUAACCCUGAGGCACCAGGUACUGAGGGAGAGGCAGUUUGCGGUUGUGUGCUCGGCCCUUUUCUCACUUCCCCAGACUUUUUUCCUUUUAGCUCAGACUUUGGCACCAGACUUUUUCCUUUUAGCUCAGACUUUGGCUGGGGGGUGCCGGGAAAAGGGAAGAGAACAGGGGGAAAAAGUGAAGCUCUGGCAGGGCUGGGCCUCAACACAGCUGAAAAGCCAGUGAAGGUUGUCCUUUCCCAGGCUCUCCGUGUUGCCCACUCUUCUUCCUCCUCAAAUCCUCAGGCCAUUCCAGUUGCCUAAAACCAUUCUUCAGCUGGGCCAUAAAGCCCAUGCCCAAGCAUGUGUGAAUCACAGACAGCUGUUUAAGGAGUUUAUCCUCCUAGGAAUUUUGGCAUUGGAACAGGGACCAGUACCUAAGAAAUGAAGGUCUAUCCAUGGGCUUUCAGGAUUUACCAGUCAGCCAGAAGCAGAGCCUUCCUGGUAACCUUGGAAGCCUUCCUGCUCUACGUGGGAGUCAAGCCCGCCUUGUCCAGUAGCUGUUGCCAAACCCAAUUGUGUUUGUAAGUCUUAAGAGAAUCCAGGAGAGUUUGUGGUUGGGAUUUCCAAAGUGAGAUCAGAUGGUAUAUUUCUAGAAGCAAUGAGAGGUAACAAAAAAGCUUGGGGACUAGGAGUCAGUCACUCUUUUAGAUACUAAGAAUGCAGAGAUGAAUGAAACCAUUAUUCUUCUCUCUAAGGAUUCCAUCUAAUGCAGAGACAGAAAUCAUCAAAGGGUGAUGGCUAACGACCUGUUUCCUAACCUGAAGUAAAGCCAGAUCCAUCCCACCCAUGUUGUAAGAACUCCAGAUCAGCUCGCAUUCUUCCCUGAGCAUUCCUGAAGUUCCCAGGGGGUGCAAACAUGUUUGCAAACUAGCCCCUUUAGCCAACAUAGUGAGGCUGCCAUUUGGUUCUUUCUUACUCCAGCUCCCUGGGGGAGGUCUAUCCCUGCCCUAAAAGGGUCCCAUGCUGCUGAGAAUGCUUGAAGAUGCCAACACACAGUGUCCUCUUCCUUUUUGAUAGAGCACAUGGUCUGACCUGUUGCUGUAGUUCUUGUCCAGACUCGACUCACCUCUGUCUCAACAGGAGCCUCCUCCAGGAAGGUAUUUUGCCUCCUGCCCCACCCCCUACACCACCUGCAGUCAACCAUGUAGUGAACUUGUUUACAGUGGUUUGCUGUGUGCUUCCUGAAUCUUAGAGAGAUUUCAUGAAACAACCUUGAUUUUUAUUGUAGAGCCCUCCCUGUAGGCCCAGGAGGCCAGGUCAGAGGGGAUGUGAAUGAAGCACACCAUAUUCCUUGCCCAACACCGGUCCACGGCCUUGGCAUCUUUCUCCCACCUCUUAUCAUGGCCUUCUCUAUGGAUGAAUCCAUCCCUGGAGCGUCACAGACUCUGACACAAAUAGGCUUCACUUGGGCUGACCCACUAGCUUUUCACCCACACCAGGACCCACCUGAAGUCUAGAGUCAGUUUGGCACCACUGCUCCAUGCUGGCCUCAGCACGGUGUGUCCUGGGUACAGAGAAUACCCCAAAGGAAGACGUGGGCAACUCCUCCUGGGAUGGGUGUGACUGUGAAGCACCUGGCAGGACUCAGAGAAGGCACCGCUCAUGCUGAGUCUGGAAAGAUGAGUAGAUCCACUCCCCGAAGAUGAGGGGUUUGAAGUCUGCCUAAACCAUUCCCCUGCUGUUUGAUCUGGGAGCUUCCCGGCUUAACGUAACACCUACCUCACACAGUCCUGGUGACAGUUAAAUAUGAUCACGUAUGUGAGAGCAUCAUAAAAUGAAAGGCAAUGACUGUAAUUAUUAUGAUUAUUAUGAUGAUUUCAAGUACAGUUAUUUUAUUGGCAGGCAGCCUGUCUUUACUGACACCUUCUCAAAGACAGGCAGGCAGAAAACAGGUGGGUGGAUGACAAGAGAGGGUUGGGGAUUUUUUAAAAAAGAGCCCUGUUGGAGAUGCCACACCAGUGUAGAUGGUUGCUGAGGGUCUGUGAAGCAGUUGGCAGCCUGCAGCUACCUGAUAUUUGAAACUAUAGGAUCUUUAUAAAGUGACCCCAGUGACCUUUGGCUCAGUUGGCUUGUUUCUAUUCAAGCAACAAAUCCAAAUCUGCUUUGUGAGUAGAUGCAGUAUCAGUGUUGCACUGAUGGUGGAGAUAAAUUUCCCAACUGUGUUACAAGGAACAGAAAAUUGAGUGCUUGCGAUUUAUCUCUUGUGAACAGGUUAGGAUGAAAGGAAGGAGAAGCCCAGGAAAUACAGCCAGGAAACUUCUGAGGGUUAGUAGCUGGAAGGUUCAGGUCACAGGCAGGGUAUGAAUAGCUGUCACGUAACCUUCUCUGGGAAUACUUUCCUGGUUCUGUGAAGUUGAUGAAAUAGCCUACUUAGCAUUUUUCAUGAAACAAAAUUAUGUGGCUAAGAACAAAGGACAGUGAAACAGCAUCGUCUUACUCUGGAGGCUUUCUCCAAGGCGGUUCUUGGAGAUGGCCCAUAGGAUCAGAAACAACAUCUUCUGGAUCCAGAUUACUGCAUGUCCUGUCAUGGGCAAGAGUCAGAACCACAGACAUCAGAAAUAGGCAGCUAUGGGACAAAAGGCCAUGUUUAUCAAACUUGGCCUUCCAGAACAAAUUUCUAAUCCAUUCAGGUGGAUUAAUAUUUGACCCAGUCAUGCCCAGGGAAAAGGUGAAUGACUCUCCUUGUUUGUCCAAGAGCAGUGUCCUUGGUUUUCAUGUCUCUGCCAGGAUCAGAGAUCUUUAGAUCUAGUCUUCCCACCCCAUUUAUCUGAUCACUAUAUAAUCAGAACCAAAAGGAGCCUCUAGGUUCACACAGCUGGAACUCAUCUCCAGGAACAAACAGCUGGAACCCAUCUUCAGUUGGAGGGAAACUUCCAGACUUUUGUAAGAUUCUUCCUCCUGGGUAAUCUAUUUUUCUGUUUGUUUAUAUGUAUACUAUUUCUAGACAUCCAUCCACUUCAGUGAAACCAUUUUUUCCCUUUUAAAAACUCUUGGUCCAAGUUCACGAAUUAAGAAGGAAAUAAGUCAGAUUCUAAAAUGUAAAAUGCAAACAGAUUUCUUCUGGGAUAGCCUGAAUGUAGAAAUAAAAGGAAAUUAGUGAUACUGGGAACAAGUGGAGAUUUAGAAGGGAUUCCUAAGUUGUGAUAGAGUCCCCACAGAUCUGGGAAAAGCAUUUGCUGAAGGGUAUCUGGACCCCCACCCCUCCGCCCUGAUGUCAUAUGUGGCUUAACAAGGAAAGAAACAGAAAGUAUACUUUUACCUUUGUUUUCUUGUAAUCUUUCCUGCUAAUUCUUUCCUUAAGAAAGUUUUGGGUCUCUUUGAAAGCACAAUAGAACAACACAUGGCAAAAGCAAAAAAAAAAAAAAAAAAGAAAAAAGAAAAGGUACACUGCAGGUUGAACAGAAGAAGGAAGGAAAGGGGACAAGGGAGGAAUAUGCAUUAGGUGUCCUGCUUCCACUUUGGAGAAUAUUGCCCUAGGACAAAUAAAAGUGUGAGACCAUAUUUAUGGAAGCUGUAACCAUAGUCACUGAUCAUAAACUGUCUAGUUAACUCCCUAGUGAAUAAAGUUUGAUAGAUCUCUUGAAUACAAAGCAUUGCCUGUGAGGAGAGAGAAUAUUAGUUUUUGUGAAGAUUAAAGGAUUGUUUGAGGUAGAAGGUAAAGUUAAUCUAGAAAACAAAUUGUGGGACAAAUUCCAGUAAGAAAAAUGUGAUGGUUAUGUGCUUGGGUGUGGAAGGACAAAUGUGAAUGAAUUUGACCACCAGAUCUCUGUACCCUUGGCCUGGGCAGAUUUGCUUCCCCACCACAAAUAAUCUCUUACUUGUUUUCUCCCAAUUCCAUUUGACCUCUCUUUAGGGGAAGUUUAGUAUUGAGUAUAUAAGUGAGGAAGUUUUGAGUGGGAGAGCAGAUGUUGUUACUGGUGGCCCUAGGGUAUACUUGCUAGGAUUGGUUUCUGGGUGGCUGAGGGAGUUAAGAUUGCAGUAAACCUGGGAAAACCUCAGCUAAGCUGUUACAGAAUGAAUGUACAAAUGCUGCAAAUCAGAAACAAAAAUAUUCCUUAACCUCUAAGGCUAGGACAUGAGGGCCUUCAAGCUCCAACAAGCAAGCGGUUUUUUAGGAUGUGAAGUUCCUGUGUCGUGUCAGUCCAAUGUCUUAACUAGAGGUGGGCUGUAGGCUUGGCUUACACACCAAGCCUUAAGAGAUGAUGCGUCUCAGUCAACCUAUCAUCUGUUUCUUCCAGGUGGUGCCUUGUGCCACCAACUACACUUAGACACAAACUUGUCUCUGCAAUUCCAUCCUGGUGGAACUAGAAAAGGCUUUUAUGCUUAAUGAGAACCAUGGAGAAAGAGGCAUUUAGAGUUAGCAACCCUAAAAGUUUUACAGAUGAAUACGGUAGGCCUGGAGAGGAAAAUGAAGUCAGCCAUUAAAAACAUAAUUAUUGAGGGUCUACCAUGAGGCAGACACUGUGAUUCAAGGUGACGAAUAUCGGCUCUGCCCUCCUAUAGAUUACACACCAGUAGGAAAUACUGACAAGUAAACAGGUCAUUGUUGGCCCAAGAUCACAUAGAUAAUGGCUUGGAAAUGGCACCCAUGAAACCUGACAAGAGAUAACCUUUAUUUUAUUAUAUCCUUGUGGACAGAUCAGCUUCGUGACUUUUGCUUUAACAAUUAUAUCUAGUAAAGUGUCCUUGAUCUUAAUAUCUAAAGCAUAGAGUGUUUGGACAGACACUCUUGGCAGACCUGUCAGCUCAUACUCCCUUCUGUGAGCAGUGAUAUCCCCACAGCCUGUUAACACUGGCACUUCCUACAAGCACCCAUGGUCUCCUCCCCAGCGUGGAAACCCUUGGCAACAUUCCUAUCCACCACUGCCACCUAAUGACUCUUUUGGGUACUACCAGCUCUGGUUCUACUUCCUGAUUUUUUUUUUUUCUUUCUUUUUAACUCUGGGAUUUCUCCCUCUCUGGCAGAGAGGUGUUGACUGUGUGGUCUCUAACGUCCCUUCUGUCUUGACAUUCUACAAUACCUUUGAUGUUAGAAGGCAUUGCUGAACAGGAAACUUAGUUGAUUACAAGUCAAUAAAACUUUGAAGAGGUCUUCCAAAAAAAACUAGAAAAAUAAAACACAGCCAGAAUGAAAAGCGCAAUGUAAGUGUAAAGAACUUGGUAGAUACUGUAUUGGAGCAGCAACCAUGUAGGAAUACUUGUUAUUCUUUUAGGAGUGGCUCUCCUCCCUGCAAUGAUGUGCCACUUUCUUGCUAAACUUCCAAGAACACAAUUUCACUUGAUUCUAUUACAAAUGAUACUCUGUGUGCUUAAUGGAAAACUUUUCAGCCGCUGGUUAUUUCAGUAUUGUAGAAUGGUCAAAAGAUUCCUCAGUGUCUAAUCUGGUAUUUUUCAGCAGUGUACCAAAUUUGUUUAUAGUUAUUAUGAAACAGACAAGGUGGAUCAAUGCCAAAUGUUGAUGAGAAUGAGAGCUCACUUUGCUUACUCUGUCACAUGCCUUCCAUGUAACCAGCAAAACCCUGGAUCAUACUCCCAGGGCUGUUUAGCAACAGGCUUACUGCUAGGACCUAUUGCCUCUGUAAGGUCUACCAAAAUAAUUUUAUAUGAAAAUAAUGUUUAUUGACUUACACACAAAAAAGCACAACAUAAAAAUCAAUAAUUAAUUUAAUAUCUAUGAUAAUAUACCAUCUAUUAUUAAAUUUAGUAUUCAAAAGAAUUAUAUUACAUUCAAGAAUAAUUCAAAGGUCAAAAUUUUCUCCCAUUAUGAGAAUUUCUCAGUAUGUGUGAUGAUUGCCAAAAAAACCUAGCUGUUCAUAAAUUAAAUUAAUUACUCACAGACAAUUUGAAAAACAAAAUUAUAAAAAUCAGUUUCAGAUAUUCAGUGAAAAGUCAUUUUUUUUAUUGUUGGAUAUGGGGCAUUCACAUGUAUUUGAUAUAAUGUGUAGGACUAUGGUGUUUUUUUUUUUCUGACUUACGUAGAAUCAAGAUGAUAUUUUUCCUUAAAUUUUUAUUUAAAUUCUAGAUUGUAAACAUAUAAUGUAAUAUUGUUUUCAAGGACUAUGGUGGUUUUAAAAGGCACUGAAUACUCUUUAAGGUUUUCUCCAAAGAACUAAAGGUAUAGUCAGAAACUACUUGCUGCAAACACCAAAUAUCUUUCAAUUCUCAAAUCUACAAAUUUCAUAAGAAAUACAAUCUUAAAAGUCCAUAAAGAAUUUCUUCUCUAUUUUGUUAUCAUCUAUACUUGUUUAAUUCUAUUUUUUUUUCUUGAGAGAGAGAAAGAGAAAGAGAGUGCAAGCAGAGGGUUGGAGGGAGAGGGAGAGAAAGAAUAUUAAACAGGCUCCAUGCCCAGUGUGCAGCUGGACAUGGCUAGAUCUCACAACCGUGAGAUCAUGACCUGAGCCAAAAUAAGAGUUGGAUGCUUAACCAACUGAGCCACCCAGGCGUCCCUAAUCCUAUUUUUAAUUAUCUAUCACUGAGUAAACAUCAUGUUCCAGGUAAAAAGCACCUUGUUUACCCUGUGGGUGUGUUUGAGUGUCUGACACACCGCCCCUGGGAUGUGUGAGUUCUACAGUUUGAGAUUGACAGCUCCUGAGAGAGAAUGGUGGCGAUCCUAUUCUCCUUGUUCUUCCUCUGAGAAAAAUUUGAGAAAUCAUCGCAGCAAAUCGUAAGGCCUUUGACUUGAAAAAGUCUAAGGAGGGGUGCCUGGCAGGACUCUUGAUCUCAGGGUUGUGAGUUUGAGCCAUAGAGUUUAAGGGGGGAAAAGUGUCUAAGGAGUUGUUUUUAUUUUGUUUUUGUUUUUAUCACAAGGUAACAUCAUUUGCCUGUGUGUAACAGUCUGCGUACACGUGCAGGAAAAAUUAGAAAAUAUUCUCUGAGGGGCGCCUGGGUGGCUCAGUCAGUUAAGCGUCCCACUCUUGAUUUUGGCUUGGAGCCUGCUUGGGACUCUGACUCUCUGACUCACUCUCUCUCUCUCUCUCUCUCUCGCAAAAUAAAUAAUUUUUUUUAAAAGAAAAUGUUAUCUGAGAAUGAUUCAAAGUGUCCCCAAUGCAUAAAACAACUGAGGAUAAGCUUUUAUUCUUCUUCUUCCAGUCCUAAGAGUUGACCCAGACCCAAUUCCAAGCAUUACAUGGGUUCUUCCAUGUUCCUCCCUGUUCGUUCUAAAUAGCACCUCAUAAUUCCACCUUUGGCCAUGAAACACCUACUUCUUGGGGAACUAGGUCUGCCUCCUUUCUCCUGAGGAUAAAACUGCUCUCAAUUGCUCUCCUCACAGCCGGCUUACUAACUGACUUGAGUAUCUGACAUCCUGUCUUCAAUAGUCCUCUGAUCGACCCUUCCCUGGGCUCAGGGUUCCCUCUAAGUACCCCUUCUUCAUAGCUCUCGCCUCCUAUUUUACUGUCUCAUCUCAGGAAAUUGGAGCUCCGUCCCUUCUCCCUGGAUGCACCAUCCUCUUUCAGGGAGGCAUUUGGUGUAUCUUGAUGGUCUUUGUGUUCCAGGACUUAGCACAGUGUCUGGUACCCAGUAGGGACUUACAUAAAGGUUGUUAAUAUGUUAAUCAGUGAAGUAAAGAAUGUGGAUGGAUUUUGUAAUGCUGUGAUUGAUAGAAAGGUAAAUAGCGAUCCUAAGGGAUAGGAAAGAAUGGUUGGGGCAGGGAGUUGUGUUCAGGAAACUUUUAAUUCGACUUUGCAAAGGAAUGGACUGAUGAAACGUUUGAGAUUAAUGAGGAAGGGAAAAGAAAAGAUGUAUUUAGGUGACUGAGGAUACCUGAUUCUAGGAGCUCUGUCAGAGAGGAAAGUCCCUGUCCUUUUAGCCUAAUCUGGCAAUGCCAUUCUGUGCCCCGACCACACCUCCUUUUGCCCUUGGCAGGAGCCCCUGUUGGAAGAGAUGGUGAUGGGCCAGGGCCCCCUGUUGUUGGUCUUCAUGCUGGGUCUGGGUCUGACCCCGCCAACCCUGGCUCAGGAUGACUCCAGGUACAAACACUUCCUGACCCAGCACUAUGACGCCAAACCAAAGGGCCGGAAUGACAGAUACUGUGAAAGCAUGAUGGAGAGACGAGGCCUGACCACACCCUGCAAAGACACCAACACCUUUAUUCAUGGCAACAAGGGCAGCAUCAAGGCCAUCUGUGGAAAUAAGAAUGGAAACCCUUACGGAGAAGCUUUAAGACUAAGCAAGUCUCCUUUCCAGAUCACCACCUGCAGGCACGUAGGAGGGUCUCCCCGGCCUCCCUGCCGGUACAGAGCUACACCAGGCUUCAGACACAUUGCUGUUGCCUGUGAAAAUGGCCUGCCUGUCCACUUUGAUGAGUCCUUUUUCCGUCCAUAACCAGCAGGCCACAGCUGGCUCUGCUCCCCUUUCCUUGCAUUUCCCUCCACACCCCAGAACAGUGGUGGCAACAUUCAUUGCCGGGGGCCCGGAGAAUGACCUGCCUGGAUCUCUUGCUUUCCUUUUUACAACAUGUUUAAGAAAUAAAAAUGACUCUGAAAUCAGUAAGAAUCAAAGUCUUCUCACUGAUUAUUGGCCUAUAAAUCUAUUAAAACCCCAUUUUCUCUACUCAGCUGCUCCCUGAGAGGAUUGGAUACAAUAGAAAUGCCCUUUUCCUUAUCAGUCAGUUCCUCAUUAGUCAGUAGGGAGGUGGACUUUACCUUUGUGUAAAAAGAAGGUGGUUAAAUUCAUCUUACAGAAAGAACUAGGAAAAUUCCAGGGCUUAUGGCAACUAAGCAGAAUUUUCAGAAGGGGCAAAUAAUAAGCCCAAUAUUACUUUUACAAAUGUUAAACCUUGAGAAAAGUUGAGGACUAAAUACCAACAGAUUAAUCACACUUUCUCUCUUUCCCACACCCAUACAUGUAACCCUGCAUCAAUACCAAAAUCCAUGCAGAGUAGACACCUCUUAUCUUAAGCAGGAGCUAAUUUUUUUAUGUUGCCUUGAAUGGAAUACUCCCUGGAUAUUCUCAUGGCUAUUUUAUAUAAAGAUCAAAAAGUGAUUACUUUAUCAUUCAUUCAUUCAUUAUUACAGUCUUUUCUCCCUAAUCUCUUACUUUAUCAAAUAAUGUCUGGCAACUGUGAGAUCUUUGGGAAGGCACAGAAAGAUUCCAAGCUUAUUUUUUAUUCUUCUUCAACUAGAUUUGGUUUUCAGGUAAACAGAAACUUAAGUUAACGACAUUCUCUUUGUAAAAUAUACUUAUCAGUCCACAGGUUAAGUGAUUAACUUCCUGUUAACCUAAUUCCUAUCAACAGGUGUCUCAAUAUUUUAUUUAGAAAGCAGUUGAUAAAUUACAGUUAUAAAUUACAGUUUGCCAUCUUGUGAAUGUAUAACUGUCGUGGUCACACUAUCCCCAGUGGUGGCCUCCCCUGCUGCCCACAUUGCUCUUAAAUGGGCCAAAAACCCUGGUUUCUCAAUACUCGGGUUAUAGAUCAGUGUCUAGGUGCCAUCUGGGAGAGCCCAGCCUCCCUGAAAAUAUUCAGAUUUGGGGAGGAAGUGAUGGAGAAGUAGGUUACAGGUGUAUACUCAGCACAUGAAUCUGUCCGCCUUGAGUUAUCUAUUUCAAAAUUAAAAACACUGUCAUUAGAGAGAAGAAUUUUCCGAACCUCUCUUAUUAGAAAAUGUGCCUUAUCAUAAAAUCUCAAAAACUCCUUAAAGAGUAAGAAAAUUCCAAUUUGUGGUAAAACAUUUGGACGCUUUCUCAGGGUCUCCAACCAGUACUAUAUCCUUGAUAUGAGGCAAAGUGACUUCCAUACAGAUCAUUGCCCCUCUCUUGAUAUAGAAGGUUAAAGGCACAGACCAUUAUUAUAUUGAUCACACCAUAUCUGAGAAAACUCAUGUCUUCUCCAAACAUCUGCUUAGAGCAUUACCAUUGCAAACUCUGCUCUAGUGUUGGGUCAAAUGACUGUUUCCCUGGAGAUGACAUGGCAACGGGCUGUGGGUGCUUCCUGUCCUGCUUUGGGAGCUAGUAGCAGCUUGGUGGCCAAUCCUAGCCCUUUUUGCUCUGGGUCUCUUGUUCUCUCACCGUCAAAAGGUGUUUAGAAUGAAAUGUCAAGUCACAGGCAAGUCAUUUCAUCUGGAGUGAAUCAUUUGAGGAGUUGCAGUACUGGUCAGCUGUACUUUACUGACUUUGCAAGGGAAAGAGAAGAAAAACUUCAAAAAUGUCAAGUCCUUUGAGGAAUGGUCACAUUCAAGGAAGAAACUUCAGUGCAAUUUGGACAGGACAAAUUUCUCUAGAGACACAGCAGAAAUGCUAGUAGGUGAGAUAUUUCAGCUUAAAAGGGGCCUUGUAAUUUCUUGGGAAUAAAGGUACUCUACAAAAUAAGGGGGAAGGGAUCCAAAAUGUAUGCAGUUUGGUGCAGUUAUUCAUUAUUUUUAUCAGAUUGAAGGAAGCAAAGGAAAACAAGAGGAAUGGAAAUUAUGAAAAGAUCAUUGCCAACAUUUACUAAACACUAUCAUGGGCUGGGCGUUGUGAUAAGCACUUGACAUUGAUUUUAUCAUUAAUUCUUCAUAACAUCUCUAAGAGGUGGGUAUUACCAUUAUGCUCAUUUUACUUAUGAGAAAAUAGGCUGAGAGAUUAAGUAAUUUCCCCAAGGUCACACAGUUAAUGUGGCAAAGGUAGGCUUUGGGGAUCACCACAUAGAAAUUAGUUCUUAUUGAGAGUCAAUCUGGUGCAGUGGAGAAAGACUUUGGGACAAACUCUGACCAAAAACUAUGUGUUGGGAUGAUUCAGGCAUCAUUUGAUUUUCUGUAGUACCUAGCACCCUGAGAUGUACCCAUUGACGUCUACAUUGGACUUCGGUUCGCAAAUAUUUUCCCAUGUCUUGUUAAAUCAGUUCGUUAUUGUGGCUGAAGCCAGUUUGUUCUUAUAUGAAUAGUUCAAGUUUUCUCUGUAGUCAGUUAUUUUGCUGAACCAUGAUCUUGGUCACAAAGAAGGAUGAGAGAAAGUAGACAGAACUGUGCAAGAUGAGAGGUGCAAGAUCAGAUCUGGGAAAAACAACCCAAAGUACGUCAUUGUGAUGAAGCCAUUACCCAAGUGCUAAGUGUGCCUUCAGAAGUUGUAUCCAUGGGUGCUGGGGUGAGGAGUAAAUUGAGCAUCAUUUCUCCCAUCCAUCCUUCUUCCCAUGACUCCUUCACUUCCCUCUCUUCCUGACUCCAUCUCUCAUAUCAGCUGCAGGCACAGCAAUAUGACAUAGAGCUUUACAACUUUCUGUGCACAGGCAAAAGGUGGCUGUGAACAUAGAAGGUGGCAUGUAAAAGAAUGACGGUUAUGUUUCAUCCUGUCAUUACCACUAACCAAAGUGUAGGCUUUAGGUGGAACAGAUCGCAGGUCCCUCAUCAGCCUUUUCAGUCACUUACACGCGUGAUCCGGCAUCAGGAAGCAGCACCUUUGCAAACAAAGGCCAGUAGUGCCCAUAUAUGUCAACCCAGGGGUUCAGCUGAGGCCAGCCCUUGAACUGCACAUGUAGAAAUGGGCCAGUCUUCCUCAAAAAAAUUGCCUUUGCUAUUGAGAUGCUCACUCCCUGUUGAAUUGGAGAUUUUUUUUUCCCCUCUACUGAGUCAACCCUGCCUCAUCAUAAGAGUCAAGUAGUUCACAGUUUGAGUUCAUGUCAGUCCCAGACUGACAGCCAGAAGGCAGCAUCUAGCUAGUGAGUUAGUGUGGUAAGUGACUCCCACCUCCACUCCCACCCUAUUCCACCCCUGAUUACAUUCUGUUGCUAGAGAGAACCAACUCUGAGCACAAACAUCUAUAGUACCUUGGAUAUUUGGGACGUGGGGUGGGAGAGGCAAUUAGAAGAUGGCAGAAAGAGUACAGAUUUUAGAGCCAGAUAGGCCUUGGAUUCCUUUCUUUAAUUAGUCCCUAGCAGCAAUGUUCUGAAACUAUAUCACAAUGCUUUCUUUGUCAUUGCUCCAGAGGUGUUUGUUUGUUUGUUUGUUUGUUUGUUGACUCUGUAAAAUAAAUGUUUAUUUCCCACCAUCAAGAGGUGCCAGCACAAAGAUCCUGCAGCCAGAGAAUACAGAGAAUUACCAACAGCUAUUGACAAGACAGGCAGAGCAUCAAGGAUAGAUGCAGGACAAUGGAGUAUAUCAGCAGGGCCUAGUUUUUUGGGUUGUACAUAGAAACAGAAAAAGAAAACCCCACAAUCCACAUCCUUUUUUGUGGAGAUUGUGCUAUUUAUAUUUCUUUCUUUAUUUUUAAAUGUUUAUUUAUUUUUGAAAGAGUGAGAGAGAAAGAGAGAGCAUGAGCAAGGGAGGGGCAGAGAGAGGGGGCACAGAGGAUCUGAAGCAGGGGGCUUGAACCCAUGAACCGUGAGAUCAUGACCUGAGCUGAAGUUGGAUGCCUAACCGACUGAGCCACCCAGGUGCCCCUAGAUUUUUUUUUUUAACUUUGUUUUAAAUGUUUUAUUUAUUCUUGUGAGAGAGAGACAGAGUGUGAGUGGGGGAGGAGCAGAGAGAGAGGGAGACAUAAUCUGAAGCAGGCUCUGAAUCUGAGCUGUCAGCCCAAAGCCCGAUGUGGGACUUGAAUCCACGAACAGUGAGAUCAUGACCUGAACGGAAGUGGGACGCUUAACCGACUGAGCCCCCCAGGCCCCCCAAGAUUUAUUUUUUUUAAUGUUUCUUAGCUUAUUGGUUAAUUCCACAAGCCUGGAAAACACCUUCGCGCUCUAUAUACAUUUCACUUCAUUUUUCACAAGCUCAUGCAUUUCGUUUAUUAGUUUAUUCAGCCAAUAUUUACUACCUUUAGUGCACUGAGACUUGAUACUCUGCUUUUGUAGGGUUCCUUUAUAUAAUAUUAACAGGAUUUCCAAAAGGCCCUGAUUUUAAUAUCAUAGGAGAAUAGCCAGUUAAGAGGAAAAUUAAAUAUUAAUACUAAUACUAAUACCUAAUACUGCCCCGACCUCUUUUCUGUACUUCUUCAAUUCCAGAUAUAAGGAAUUAAAAUCAGUUCAUCAGCUUUCUUUGACAUAUCUUGAGUCUAGUGGCACCUGGGUGGCUCAGUCAGUUAAGUGCUAAGUGUCUGACUCUUGAUUUUGGCUCAGGUCAUGAUCUCACAGUUCAUGAGUUCAUGCCCCCAUCAAGCUCCGCAAUGCCCAUGCAGAGUCUACUUGGAAUUGUCUCUCUCUCUCCUUCUCUGUCUGCCCCUCCCCUGCUCUCUCUCAAAAAAAAAAAAGAAGAGAAGAGAAGAGAAAAAAGACAUAUUCUGAGUCUAUCCAAAUUUUUGGGAAUCAGAGUCUCCAGAGGACUCAACACUCCAAAGAUCACAUGACUGGAGAAUUACCUCAAGAAAUAGUCAACUCCAGUUUCACUUAGCUCUGCCUUUUCUUCCUGUUCACGCUCUAACCAUACAGGCCAGAUACAAUGGACAGCCACCCGGUCAGUGUCCAUCCUGAGUUAUUGUGCUCAGUGCAGCAACUUCUCUCCAUAAAAGAGAAUGACUCUUGCUUCCAGAAAAAGUCAUGUUUACAUACUCUUUGCUCUAGCAAAAGCAAGACAAGAAAAGUCGUGAGCAGAGAAGAGUGAGGAGCUGAUAAGGUACAGAUAAGGAGGAAAGAGGAGACUAGAGUUGAGGAAAUGACAGUUUGCCAUUCUCUUCACCUCUCUCCGGUGCCCAAAUCUUACCUUCCUUUCUCCUUCCCCUUGGGCUUCUCUCUAGGCAUCUCCAAGGUCGUGAUGGCUCUCCAGAGGAUUCAUGCAUUGCUUCUGCUCUUGCUGCUGACCAUGCUGGGGCUGGUGCAGCCCUCCUAUGGCCAGGAUCGCAUGUACCAACGAUUCCUGCGGCAACAUGUGGACCCUGAGGGGACAGGUGGCAACGAUGCCUACUGCAACUUGAUGAUGCAAAGACGGAAGAUGACUGUGCGUCAGUGCAAGCAUGUCAACACUUUCAUCCAUGAAGACAUCUGGAACAUUCGUAGUAUCUGCAGCACCACUAAUAUCCAGUGCAAGAAUGGCAAGAUGAACUGCCAUGAGGGUGUAGUGAAGGUCACAGACUGCAGGGAGACAGGAAGUUCCAGGACCCCCAACUGCAGAUAUAGGGCCUUGGCAAGCACCAGGCGUGUGGUCAUUGCCUGUGAGGGUAACCCCGAGAUGCCUGUACACUUUGACAGAUAGACACCAUCCUGCAGGGGUGACAACCCAGCCCUUGGCCUUCAACUUAAUGCAUAAACUGCAAUGAGUAAUGCAUUUGAGCUGCCCCAGGCUCUGUCUCCUCUACUUCUUAUUCUUUUUCUCUUUAUAACCCAUUCUGUUAAGCACAUUGUAUCAAAGAGAAAUGGAGACAUAAAAUGAGGCUGGGCUUUUCUAUAGUAAACUUUUUUGCUUGCUUUUAUCAUACUGGUCAGUUGAGCUCUCUCAUCAGAUCCUAUCCUCUGGAAUUUAGUCAUUAUCUGUAUUUAUAUAGCACUUCAAGCAUUUCAAAGUGCUUUCAUCUAAAUUAUCUCAUUUUAAUAGCACAGCACUCCUGUAAUGCUGCCUGUUGUAUGUAGGAGCCCAAAGUUAAGAGAUUUGCUGAAGACCAUGAAGUUAGUGGAAUAACUGAGACAGAAAUCCAGUUGAACUGACUACCAAUCCAGGGCUUUCUCCACUUCAUCACAAGGAGCGUUUUGAAAGUAACUGCUUUUUGUUGUUUCCCAGAGUCAGCUGUUGGGAGAAGCAUUACAAAUUUGGAAAUGUAUGCUGGCAAAUGAGAACUCUAUCUGUGUGAUUUGGCUCCCUUGUUAUGCUGGGCUCUAAUAAGAUCAGGAAAUGAUGCGAGGAAUUUUCUUUCUCUCUCUCCGCGACUUUUGAAUCACUCUAAUAAGUCAGAAUAUUAAAAAUGUACUAGAUCAUUUAUGACUUAUUCACUCUUCCUGACUGAAAUGUUUUUCAUGUUUUCCUUGUAAUAAA
This 18683-nucleotide long non-coding RNA is filed under the name Lynx pardinus (Iberian lynx). The record is from RNAcentral. Lineage: Eukaryota; Metazoa; Chordata; Mammalia; Carnivora; Felidae.